This 468-nucleotide ribosomal RNA is filed under the name uncultured bacterium. RNAcentral's name for it is "partial 16S ribosomal RNA". It matches the Rfam family "Bacterial small subunit ribosomal RNA", at positions 28 to 507 of the family's 1533-position model. The record is from RNAcentral.
GACGAACGCUGGCGGCGUGCUUAACACAUGCAAGUCGAACAGAAAGACCCUGCUUUUGUGGGGUGCUCGAGUGGCGAACGGGUGAGUAACACGUGAGUAACCUGCCCUUGACUUUGGGAUAACUUCAGGAAACUGGGGCUAAUACCGGAUAGGAGCUCCUGCUGCAUGGUGGGGGUUGGAAAGUUUCGGCGGUUGGGGAUGGACUCGCGGCUUAUCAGCUUGUUGGUGGGGUAGUGGCUUACCAAGGCUUUGACGGGUAGCCGGCCUGAGAGGGUGACCGGCCACAUUGGGACUGAGAUACGGCCCAGACUCCUACGGGAGGCAGCAGUGGGGAAUAUUGCACAAUGGGCGGAAGCCUGAUGCAGCAACGCCGCGUGCGGGAUGACGGCCUUCGGGUUGUAAACCGCUUUCGCCUGUGACGAAGCGUGAGUGACGGUAAUGGGUAAAGAAGCACCGGCUAACUACGUG